Molecule: long non-coding RNA, 550 nt
Organism: Fukomys damarensis (Damara mole-rat)
Lineage: Eukaryota; Metazoa; Chordata; Mammalia; Rodentia; Bathyergidae
Exons: 3
Source: RefSeq, a predicted model, not a curated record
GCUCCCUUAGCCUUUGCCUUGGCCUUCUCUUGUCUCGCUACCCUUGUCACGGUCCACGGGUGCUUUCAGUUCCUCCUUGUGUCUAUUUUUAUGGCCUUUAAUUAAGACAGUUGUGGGAACUGUAUCUUUCGGCAGUUGAAAUGAGAUUUGAGAUCCAGAACUUAACAAACAAGUUUCUGUUUUGAUGUCAUUCUUUGUGCCAACACUGCAGUCAUCAAAGGAGCAAUAUAUCUGCAGUGGAUGAAGGAACUCAGCAACCUUCACUCAAGCUGUCCGGAGGCACUUGCAGACCUGUCUUAUAUGGAUGAUAUAUGAGUGCCCAUGCAUCUUAUCCUGUCAGAUAGGGAAGGCAAGUUGAACUUAAUCACACCCAGAGCUCCAGAAGUAUCAUAAAGCGUUGCUUUAAAAGUGGUCACAGCCAAAGCAUUUCUCAGCAUAAGCAGGAGGAGGUUGAGGAGAAGCAGCUGGUGCCAGCAACAGCAAAUAUGUCUUGGAAAUGUCGACAGAUACAUUGCUCCCUCCUACAUGGAACAACAGGAAAGCGAAGGCC